UGCUGAUUUGAAUUUCAAU
Molecule: non-coding RNA, 19 nt
Filed under: Arabidopsis thaliana (thale cress)
Lineage: Eukaryota; Viridiplantae; Streptophyta; Magnoliopsida; Brassicales; Brassicaceae
Source: RNAcentral